RNAcentral lists this long non-coding RNA (502 nucleotides) under Parus major (Great Tit). RNAcentral's name for it is "lncRNA (ENSPMJG00000002848.1)". Lineage: Eukaryota; Metazoa; Chordata; Aves; Passeriformes; Paridae. The record is from RNAcentral.
AGUUUUGAAAGAGGUAAAAUUCAGGGGAAAUCUGACUUGGAAAAGUUACAUAAUUUUGAAAAAAGGAAAAAAACCUAUUGUAUUUUUUUUAAAAAAACAACAAACUUCUCAAAAUCUGAUUUUUAUUUUUAUACCCCAAGUUUCCUGUGCCUGUAGAUUAAAAUGUGCUUUCUUUAUAUGUCAUUUUCCAGGAAGUUUGACAGACAUGCCCAGACUCACGUCUGCUUAUGUCUUACUGCAUGAGCACUUACCAGCAAUUGCUCUCAGUAAAAUAUAUUAGAGGGACAGCUCGAUCCAUCCGAGGCUCCCAUCCAUCUGGUGAGGCACAGACAGCAGCUGACAUUGGGGCAGUGAAAAUGAGCAAAUUAAAGACCGUAACUGGGAUGUUUACAGCAGCAACAUGGUGAACAAACAGAUAAGGAUGCUGUGGAAAGCAAAAGGUCACUGGACUUGAAGGACAAACUCAUGGAAUAUGAAUCCACUGAGUCUGCUGAAACUGUGC